GAAUCUAAUUCUCAGCCCAUCUGGCAGGCGUAAUGAAGGCGGGUCGGGCUUGAGAUGCCCUGCUGCCUUGGCUCGACGGAGCAGGAGGUUAGCUGACAGAUUGGGCCAGGAUGAGUGGAGGGGAGUCGCGGAACCUGCUGACCUUUCAGCCUUUGCCCUGCAGUUCCCCGUAGCUCCUCUGACCCAGCACCCUGAGCCCUCCUUCAAAACCAUCGUACUGUAAAGCCCGGAGCACUUGCAGAUAAGCAGCCCCCAGAAAUCAAGCGGACCCUGCAGCCGAGCAGAUUGAGUGUCAGAGCUCAGUACCCAGGAGGUGCCUGGAGGCUACAAACACUGCAGAUAGCACCAUCAGAUAGCCGGCGAGGGGGAGCCAGACAACAUGAAACUUCCUGGCCUCGUUACUAGACUUUGCUUUGCUUGCACAAUCGCCCCCCACCCACUCCCUCCUCCCACACCACUACCUCCGAGCCAUGCUGCACCUCUCUCACUCCGAAUCCCUCCCCUUCGCCUUUCAGAUAAAGAGAAGGCCCCGUUCCCUUCCGACUUAAACUGACAGCUCGAGCCAAAGGGCUCUGCCAGCUUUUUUUUUGGAGGUCUUGUUUGUUUUCAUCCUUCUGUGAGUGUGCUGAUGCCGGGGAGCAGGAAUGUGACAUGUUCUAUUAAAACAACAUAAAAAAAAGAAAGAAAGAAA
This is a long non-coding RNA of Xiphophorus couchianus (Monterrey platyfish), 691 nucleotides long. RefSeq lists it as uncharacterized. The record is from RefSeq and is a predicted model, not a curated record. The transcript has 2 exons. Lineage: Eukaryota; Metazoa; Chordata; Actinopteri; Cyprinodontiformes; Poeciliidae.